UCAUGUUUUAUAACUCAAACAUAUCAAAGUUUAUAUAAAUUGGUUCCACAAUAAAUAAUAUGAAAAAAUACAUAUUUGCUUGGUUAUUCAUAUUGCUGCCAUCAAUCCUCGUACAUCCAUAAGUGAAUUAGUGAAGUAGGUUCACCAUUCACAUCACUAUUUACUAAGCUGAAAUGACAAAAUAAAAACAUUUGAUGAGGAACUUGUACAUGAUUCGACAAACAAACAUAUACUGAUGUGCAUACAUUAUUCACACUUGAAUAGGCAUAACUUUAAGUAAUUAGCAAAGAGAGAAGUUCAAGGUAAUUGUUGUUAAAACAAAAUAUACUUAAUAUAUAUAUAUAUAUAUAUAUAUACCCAAAAGAGAAGUGCAGUUUCAUACCUUAUGGCACAACUACGAAUUAUUCUCUUCUUUAAUUUAUAUGGGAUCACAUGAAAGAGAAGAUGAUACUUGUAACAUGAGCCAUACGUGAUAACACCUAAUAUGAAAAAAAUUCCUAAAUAGAUAAAGCUAACAGCAUCUUGCCUGGGCGUUUUUUGCUAGCCAAAGAUAGGCUUC
This 559-nucleotide long non-coding RNA is filed under the name Nicotiana benthamiana. RNAcentral's name for it is "long non-coding RNA (NBEN_LNC007778)". Lineage: Eukaryota; Viridiplantae; Streptophyta; Magnoliopsida; Solanales; Solanaceae. The record is from RNAcentral.